RNAcentral lists this ribosomal RNA (208 nucleotides) under uncultured delta proteobacterium. Its description in RNAcentral is "partial 16S ribosomal RNA". It matches the Rfam family "Bacterial small subunit ribosomal RNA", at positions 568 to 774 of the family's 1533-position model. Lineage: Bacteria; Deltaproteobacteria. The record is from RNAcentral.
CGUGUAGGCGGCCGGACAAGUCAGAUGUGAAAUCCCUGGGCUCAACCCAGGAAGUGCAUUUGAAACUGUUCGGCUAGAGUAGGGGAGAGGGAAGUGGAAUUCCUGGUGUAGAGGUGAAAUUCGUAGAUAUCAGGAGGAACACCGGUGGCGAAGGCGACUUCCUGGCCCUAUACUGACGCUGAGACGCGAGAGCGUGGGGGAGCAAACA